Long non-coding RNA from Phragmites australis (common reed), 2115 nucleotides. RefSeq lists it as uncharacterized. NCBI's taxonomy places the organism in Eukaryota, Viridiplantae, Streptophyta, Magnoliopsida, Poales, Poaceae. The record is from RefSeq and is a predicted model, not a curated record. The transcript has 3 exons.
UCAGCCUGGUAUCCGCGCGGCUAGUGACGUCAUCGACUCCUCAGACUCUCUUCCCCAUGGCCCCUCCCUGCUCGGGCAGCCGUCGCUUGGAGCGGCCAUGCCCGGAUCCGGCCACUCUUCGACGAGAUCCGGCUACCUAGAGCCUAGAUCUAGUCACUGUUGCUCGGAUUUAGCAGAUGGAACCGGUGACGUUGUCAACUCCAGGAGGUAGAUUUGGCAGUCGUGCGUCCUCGGGGGACCACGCUCGCGGCACCGUCACCUCCGGUGCAGUGGCUCUCAGCCACCUCUUCACCUUCUUGGUAGCCAAGCUCAUCUCCACUGUGAUCGCCUUCAAGGAGGACAACCUCCGCAUCAAGUGUUGUCCUCCGGCUUCCCCCACCGCCUCCUCCCAUUCCUAUACGCUCCUGGCCCCUCCGCCUCCCUCCUGAGACUUCCACAGCAAUGACUCCAGUCAAGGCAACGAUAGCGAAUAAGAGGGCAUGGAGAGCACAAAGCUCGACGAGGAGUACAGCAUCGCGCUAUAGCCGUCUGCCCUCGAGCUGAAGGCCCAUGCCAAGUGGUACUCAGAAGUGGUGAACGUGAUUGGGUUCUUCGACUUCACCAUGGAUUAGUUUUGUGCCUCGUGACGCUUUUUAUCCUUUCAGUAGAUUUCUUUAGGGUUGUGCAACUACUUGUCUGGAUCUGCAGGAUGGAAGGAGGAGACAGUUCAAUUCUUUUUUUUUUACUGCCAUGUAAAACUGGGAAAAUGAUGGGUAUGGCUUCCAUUAUGGAACACGGAUUCUGCUGUGUAGAUCAAUAGGUAGCUGGACGUUGCUGCUCACAGAUGAGUAUCCCCUUUUCUCUAAUCUCAGUUCUCUCUCUAUUGACAGCAUGUGUGGCUUGUGAAAUGGUGAUUGAGUGAAAUAUCCAGUUGUACAGGCAUCUGAAAAUAAUUAGUACAUACCUUCAGAAAGGGGUGUUAAAUAUACACUACUUCGAUUUAGAAAUUAACUGCAAAUUGUGCUUGUGUUGGCUCAAUAUGCUUUGCCAAAAAUAAGAAAUUCUGCAGACCAAAAUAUGCUUUACUCUGCUCUCUUUCAGUUCAAGUUGAUAAUACGUGAAACUCUGUUCGAGUGGUUGAUGCUAAUAAUAUAUGAAGUAGACUGCAUCUUGGUUUGUUCUGUCUUGAAGGCUAGUGCUCAGGAUCAAAGCCUUUUGGUUUGUUCUAUCUCCAUAUUAUGCUCAACCAUAGAACAAGAUUCAUCCUUCAAUCAUAUAAUUAUCGUUUUAGAAGACAAACUUCUUGUUUUCUGACAUGUUCGCCUUUUUUGAUAUGAUUUUGGUUUGUAUGUAAAAAGUGGAACAUGCUGCACUUGAUUGCUUUAAAAUGGCGUUAAUUACUAGCAGUAUGCGGUCAAUGAUAGUGUGUUCUUUUGUUUAAUCAAAGGAUUGAAUGUUUGAUGGUAAGAAGCUAACCAAGUUGUUCAUUUCUUUGUAGAAUAAUUCAAUAUUAUUGUUACUGUUUCUAUCUCGAUUCAAUAAUCCGUUCACUACACAAUAUAUGUGCCGAUCCAUAACUCAUAACGUUUUCUUUACCAGUCCUUCAAUCUCAAAUAGGAAUACAGAAUUAUAAAUCUAUUGGUCUGUAGAUAAUCACAUCAUUAGUGCUUAGUGGUGUGCUCUAAUUUAUUUGCUUAGGUAGGUUAUGAUAUAAGAGUUGCCGAAGUAACAACUAAUCUUCUUGAGUUGAUUUAUGAUAGAUCAAUUUUCCUCUCGGAUUGAACAAAGCGUUGUCACGCGAAGAAAGUAUUUUAUUUGAGAAGUGGAUGAUCCAAUGAGUGUUUCUUAUCUUGACCUAGGAAUGCAUAUCACAGAUACCUGAAGAAAAAACGGUAGUGAAGAGGAUGCAACCUCAGUAGCAGCUAAAUCAAGUACAACAGUUUAGACUGAAGAAAUACCUGAGCCCCCUUGAAGUGAUUGGAUGCAUUUUCACACCGGUUUGUGGAUGCUAGAAAAUUUAUUUUUGUUAGAGAUUGUGUAUACUUGUAUGGAUGGAAGUGUGUAUGUUAAUAUAUUGUGUAACUGAGAGUUAUUACAUGGAAAUUUUUAUUUGAUGUCUUUUGGUGUGUACGAUUC